RNAcentral lists this ribosomal RNA (320 nucleotides) under uncultured eukaryote. RNAcentral describes it as "partial 18S ribosomal RNA". It matches the Rfam family "Eukaryotic small subunit ribosomal RNA", at positions 1470 to 1796 of the family's 1831-position model. The record is from RNAcentral.
CCCCUAGAUGUUCUGGGCCGCACGCGCGCUACACUGAACAGUUCAACAAGUCUUAACCUUGGCCGAUAGGUCUGGGUAUUCUUUGAACGCUGUUCGUGAUUGGGAUAGACCUUUGCAAUUAUGGGUCUUCAACGAGGAAUUCCUAGUAAACGCAAGUCAUCAGCUUGCAUUGAUUACGUCCCUGCCCUUUGUACACACCGCCCGUCGCACCUACCGAUUGAAUGGUCCGGUGAAAUCUCGGGACGGCGGCUUGGUCGCUUGCGUCCGACUGCUGAAACUUGAUUAAACCAUAUCAUUUAGAGGAAGGUGAAGUCGUAACA